RNAcentral lists this ribosomal RNA (534 nucleotides) under uncultured bacterium. RNAcentral describes it as "bacterial SSU rRNA". It matches the Rfam family "Bacterial small subunit ribosomal RNA", at positions 27 to 518 of the family's 1533-position model. The record is from RNAcentral.
GGAUGAACGCUGGCGGCAUGCCUAAGACAUGCAAGUCGAACGAGAUGGUCCAUCGAAAGCUGAGUGCUUGCACAAAGCCGGACUUGGGUUGCCAUCUAGUGGCAGACGGGUGAGUAACACGUGGGUGACCUACCUUUCGUUGGGGAUAACAGUUGGAAACGAUUGCUAAUACCGAAUAAGAUGUAAGAGUCGAUUUUAUAUUGAAAGGAGCCUUUAAAGCUUCGCGAUUAGAUGGGCCUGCGGCGUAUUAGCUAGUUGGUAGGGUAACGGCCUACCAAGGUAACGAUGCGUAGCCGAACUGAGAGGUUGAUCGGCCACACUGGGACUGAGACACGGCCCAGACUCCUACGGGAGACAGCAGUUAGGAAUAUUCGUCAAUGGGGGAAACCCUGAACGAGCAAUGCCGCGUGAGUUGAUGACGGUCCUUUGGAUUGUAAAACUCUGUUGUAUGGAAAAAACGACCAGAUUAGGAAAUGAAUUUGGAGUGAUGGUACCAUACCAGAAAGCCCCGGCUAACUACGUGCCAGCAGCCGC